GCCUGGCUGGCUCAGUUAGUAGAGCAUAAGACUCUCAAUCUCAGGGUCCUGAGUUCAUGCCCCAUGUUGGGCA
This 73-nucleotide transfer RNA is filed under the name Felis catus (domestic cat). It matches the Rfam family "tRNA". From Rfam's summary of the family: Transfer RNA (tRNA) molecules are approximately 80 nucleotides in length. Their secondary structure includes four short double-helical elements and three loops (D, anti-codon, and T loops). Further hydrogen bonds mediate the characteristic L-shaped molecular structure. tRNAs have two regions of fundamental functional importance: the anti-codon, which is responsible for specific mRNA codon recognition, and the 3' end, to which the tRNAs corresponding amino acid is attached (by aminoacyl-tRNA synthetases). tRNAs cope with the degeneracy of the genetic code in two manners: having more than one tRNA (with a specific anti-codon) for a particular amino acid; and 'wobble' base-pairing, i.e. permitting non-standard base-pairing at the 3rd anti-codon position. RNAcentral also lists the same sequence under 2 other names. Lineage: Eukaryota; Metazoa; Chordata; Mammalia; Carnivora; Felidae. The record is from Rfam by way of RNAcentral.